Non-coding RNA from Monodelphis domestica (gray short-tailed opossum), 698 nucleotides. The record is from RefSeq and is a predicted model, not a curated record. NCBI's taxonomy places the organism in Eukaryota, Metazoa, Chordata, Mammalia, Didelphimorphia, Didelphidae.
AAGGAAGUUCCGGGAAAGAACGGAAAUCAAUCUCCGGCGCAGUGUUGUGACGCAGGAAAAAAGAGAGAAAAAAAACCACACCUUUAUCUCACAGCUGUGGAUUGUAGACCCAGCUACAGUAAUGAGGGUAAUUGCAGGGUGCAAAGAGCUUAAUUGACAGCCCUCAAGACUAAGAAUUCUCCCAGGGCUGACAGGAAAAGUUCCAAACUAUUGAAGACACACUUCCCCAACUGACAAUCUGGAGCUGGGAAGUGAAGCCUGAAGGGGGCAGAUCUGAUCUCUCCUGGACUCCCUUAGACAUCUUAGAAGCAGCCUCUUUGAAUACCAUCAAGCAUGAGUGAGGAGGAGUUUCCCCAAAACCCUUUGGUGGACAGAGAGGAAAAUUGGAGGAAAUCAGUCUCUCUUUUGGACAUCUGAGGACUCAGUUGCAUUCCUGUACCUGACCCAUCAAAGGAUUCUCUGAGGGUGAGAAAUCCGGUUACCUGUUGGACAUGCCUUUAGGAAUUUAUGUAAUUAGUUAAGGUAGUUAAAUAGUGGGUUAAAUUAGAGGAUAAGGCAGUCAGAUUUCCCUUCUCCGAUUUUCCUUCCUCCCUUCAUCCCUUCUCUGUUAAUCGAUUCAAUAUUAUUUAUAUGUGCUGUUUUCCCUUUGUAGUACCUUCCUUCCCCCUUUCCAAAAUACAGAUUUAACACAUACCUUA